UGCGCAGGCGGUUUUGUAAGACAGAUGUGAAAUCCCCGGGCUCAACCUGGGAACUGCGUUUGUGACUGCAAGACUCGAGUGCGGCAGAGGGGGGUGGAAUUCCACGUGUAGCAGUGAAAUGCGUAGAGAUGUGGAGGAACACCGAUGGCGAAGGCAGCCCCCUGGGUCGACACUGACGCUCAUGCACGAAAGCGUGGGUAGCAAACAGGAUUAGAUACCCUGGUAGUCCACGCCCUAAACGAUGCGAACUAGGUGUUGGGGAAGGAGACUUCCUUAGUACCGCAGCUAACGCGUGAAGUUCGCCGCCUGGGGAGUACGGUCGCAAGAUUAAA
This 332-nucleotide ribosomal RNA is filed under the name uncultured bacterium. Its description in RNAcentral is "bacterial SSU rRNA". It matches the Rfam family "Bacterial small subunit ribosomal RNA", at positions 568 to 898 of the family's 1533-position model. The record is from RNAcentral.